UACGUAGGGGGCAAGCGUUGUCCGGAAUCAUUGGGCGUAAAGCGCGCGUAGGCGGCCCUGUAAGUCCGCUGUAAAAGUCAAAGGCUCAACCUUUGAAAGCCGGUGGAUACUGCAGGGCUAGAGUCCGGAAGAGGCGAGUGGAAUUCCCGGUGUAGCGGUGGAAUGCGCAGAUAUCAGGAGGAACACCAAUAGCGAAGGCAGCUCGCUGGGACGGUACUGACGCUAAGGCGCGAAAGCGUGGGGAGCGAACAGG
This 253-nucleotide ribosomal RNA is filed under the name uncultured bacterium. Its description in RNAcentral is "partial 16S ribosomal RNA". It matches the Rfam family "Bacterial small subunit ribosomal RNA", at positions 524 to 776 of the family's 1533-position model. The record is from RNAcentral.